This 492-nucleotide ribosomal RNA is filed under the name uncultured bacterium. Its description in RNAcentral is "partial 16S ribosomal RNA". It matches the Rfam family "Bacterial small subunit ribosomal RNA", at positions 29 to 507 of the family's 1533-position model. The record is from RNAcentral.
AGUGAACGCUGGCGGUAGGCCUAACACAUGCAAGUCGAACGGCAGCACAGUAAGAGCUUGCUCUUACGGGUGGCGAGUGGCGGACGGGUGAGGAAUACAUCGGAAUCUACUUUUUCGUGGGGGAUAACGUAGGGAAACUUACGCUAAUACCGCAUACGACCUACGGGUGAAAGCAGGGGAUCUUCGGACCUUGCGCGAUUGAAUGAGCCGAUGUCGGAUUAGCUAGUUGGCGGGGUAAAGGCCCACCAAGGCGACGAUCCGUAGCUGGUCUGAGAGGAUGAUCAGCCACACUGGAACUGAGACACGGUCCAGACUCCUACGGGAGGCAGCAGUGGGGAAUAUUGGACAAUGGGCGCAAGCCUGAUCCAGCCAUACCGCGUGAGUGAAGAAGGCCUUCGGGUUGUAAAGCCCUUUUGUUGGGAAAGAAAAGCAGCAGGUUAAUACCCCGCUGUCCUGACGGUACCCAAAGAAUAAGCACCGGCUAACUUCGUG